This 253-nucleotide ribosomal RNA is filed under the name uncultured bacterium. RNAcentral's name for it is "partial 16S ribosomal RNA". It matches the Rfam family "Bacterial small subunit ribosomal RNA", at positions 524 to 776 of the family's 1533-position model. The record is from RNAcentral.
UACGAAGGGGGCUAGCGUUGUUCGGAAUUACUGGGCGUAAAGCUGGUGUAGGCGGAUCUUUAAGUCGGAGGUGAAAGCCCAGGGCUCAACCCUGGAAUUGCCUUCGAUACUGGAGAUCUGGAGUGUGGGAGGGGUGAGUGGAAUUCCGAGUGGAGAGGUGAAAUUCGUAGAUAUUCGGAGGAACACCAGAGGCGAAGGCGGCUCACGGGACCACUACUGACGCUGAGACCCGAAAGCGUGGGGAGCAAACAGG